CACGCUAAGCGUGCAUGUGGCUACUGCUUUCAGUGCUGUCUAAUAGACGAGCCCUGUAUUUAUUCCGUAUUAUGAUCAUGAAUAUAACUAUCAGAAUACUUUAAUACUUUUUAUAUGUAAGUUCAAGAUAGCUUCAAUAUGCUACAUCAAGGUAGCUUUAAAUUUCUCAGUUCUCUUGACAGCUUCAGAAGUUGAGUGUAACACGUGUUAC
This is a non-coding RNA of Paramuricea clavata, 211 nucleotides long. The record is from the annotation of a GenBank genome assembly. Lineage: Eukaryota; Metazoa; Cnidaria; Anthozoa; Malacalcyonacea; Plexauridae.